RNAcentral lists this non-coding RNA (78 nucleotides) under Anaerocolumna jejuensis. RNAcentral describes it as "ZTP sequence". It matches the Rfam family "ZMP/ZTP riboswitch aptamer (pfl RNA motif)". Rfam says of the family: Previously known as pfl RNA. The record is from RNAcentral. RNAcentral also lists the same sequence under 1 other name. Lineage: Bacteria; Bacillati; Bacillota; Clostridia; Lachnospirales; Lachnospiraceae.
UAUAGAUUAUACGACUGACGGAAGUGGAAUCAACCACAUGAAGUAUAAUAAUAAAAGCCGACCGUCUGGGCGAGAGCC